AGCAGCCGCGGUAAUUCCAGCUCCAAUAGCGUAUAUUAAAGUUGUUGCAGUUAAAAAGCUCGUAGUUGAACUUCAGGCCCGUCCAGACGGUCCGCCUUAAUUGGUGUGUACUGUCCUUGGGUGGGUCCUACCUUCUGGCGAAGCGGCAUGGCCUUAAUUGGUUGUGUCGGGGAACCAGGACUUUUACUGUAGAAAAAAUUAGAGUGUUCAAAGCAGGCAAAUAUGCUCGAAUACAUUAGCAUGGAAUAAUGGAAUAGGACGAUGGUUCUAUUUUGUUGGUUCUAGGACCGUUGUAAUGAUUAAUAGGGAUAGUUGGGGGCAUUAGUAUUCAAUUGUCAGAGGUGAGAUUCUUGGAUUUAUUGAAGACUAAACUACUGCGAAAGCAUUUGCCAAGGAUGUUUUCAUUAAUCAAGAACGAAAGUUAGGGGAUCGAAGACGAUCAGAUACCGUCGUAGUCUUAACCAUAAACUAUGCCGACUAGGAAUCGGGCGAUGUUGACAAAAUGACUCG
RNAcentral lists this ribosomal RNA (510 nucleotides) under uncultured Paraglomeraceae. RNAcentral's name for it is "bacterial SSU rRNA". It matches the Rfam family "Eukaryotic small subunit ribosomal RNA", at positions 569 to 1078 of the family's 1831-position model. Lineage: Eukaryota; Fungi; Glomeromycota; Glomeromycetes; Paraglomerales. The record is from RNAcentral.